Planococcus citri (citrus mealybug) is the source of this 2040-nucleotide RNA transcript. It is a transcript of the gene named activating signal cointegrator 1, with no coding region annotated. The record is from RefSeq and is a predicted model, not a curated record. The transcript has 13 exons. NCBI's taxonomy places the organism in Eukaryota, Metazoa, Arthropoda, Insecta, Hemiptera, Pseudococcidae.
AGUUGACAAACUUUCAUUCUUGUGCAAUCUGUGAAGCGGUUUUCAACGUCAAACGUGGUUCCAUGGUUCAAAAUUCGAUUCAGAAAUAAUUUUUCCGAAUGAUAUUAUCGUUAAAUUGAAGCUCAAGCAGUUCCUUCAAAAUGAGUGACCAAAAAUUAAUCUUAAAAGAAUGGGUCAAAGACAAACUUUCCGAUAUCUUGGAUUUCCAAGUUGACGAUGAAACGGCCAAGGAAUUAAUAGCAUUUCAACAAGAUCGAGAUUUAGAAACACAUUUAAAAGGAUUUCUAAACUACAAAGAUCCUAAAUCGAGAAGAUUCAUUACAGAAUUCAUCAAACGUAGACAAACUAUAAACAACGAACUCGUUCAAAAAAAGCGUAACGAUGACGAUGAUGAUAAAUAUACGCUGAAGAAUAAUAAAAACGUGAUAAAAAGCGAUGCAAGUAUCAACUUCGAUGUACCUGCGAAGAAAGCUAACCCACCUGUGGAAAAAUCACCCAAAAGUAAUACCGAUACCGCUUCAACAAUUCCGAAAAAGAAAAACAAGUUCGUCAAUUUUUACGCCAAAGAUGGAGAAACCGUGCUUCUCAAAGGUCGCUAUCUUUGCAACUGCGAAGCAAAGAAGCACGCUCUUAUUAAUAAUUGCAUGAAAUGUGGAAGAAUCGUGUGCCAGCAAGAAGGCUCUGGACCUUGUUUUGUCUGUGAAACUCUGGUUUGUACCAACGAAGAGCUAUUGGUUUUCAAUGGAGAUACUGAUAAAGCCUCUAAAUUAUACGAACAGUUGUUGACCCAAGAAAAACCCAAAGUCCAGAUGCAGAAAGGAUUGCAGGAAGCGAUUAAUCAACGAAAUAAGCUACUCGAGUUUGAUAGAAAUACUGAAAAACAUACCCACGUGUUCGACGACGAUAGCGAUUAUUACUGUUCUGUCAAUCCUUGGUUGACGCUCGAUCAACGAGAUGAAAUUAAGAAAAAGGAAGAAGAAUUCUUCAAAAAAAAGAAUCAAUCUAGAAUGGAGAAAAAAAUUACCAUAAAUAUCGAAGCAGGAGGAAAAAUCGUCGAAGUCGAAGAAAAAGAGAAUUCGAAUCGAAUCACCGAAAAAGAUAUAAAAAGUAUCGCUGAAUCGAAGUCGAUUGCUCCAAAGAAUGCAAAGCUCAACAGUGUAAAUCAUCUUUUGGAUCCAUACUUCACUAGUUUCAAGCCAAAAUUCAAAGGUCGCGUGAAACAUCAGAAGAUUUCUCGUUCGCUAGAUCUGAUCGAUUACAAUUCAGGCCAUAUUUUAGAUUAUGGAUUACGUCAAAUGACCGAUGAAGGAUUCUGUCUCAGUGUUCAUCAACCUUGGGCUCAAUUUUUGGUCCACGGUAUACGAAAGGGAGAAGGUCGUACUUGGUAUACCUCUUAUAGAGGUAAAUUAUGGAUAGCUUCAACUGGUAUAAAAGUUUCCCGUCAAGAUGCCAUAAAACAAGAAAACACGUAUCGUAAUAUUGUAGGAGAUAUCAAGUUUCCAGCCGAUUACCCGUCAUCUGCUCUAAUCGGUAGCGUUAAUUUAGUCGAUUGUCUUACUCAAGAACAAUACAGAAUCGAAUACCCACAAGGCGAGUUAGAAGACCCUUACGUAUUCGUUUUCGAAAACCCUCAACCGUUACCCAUUCGUUACCCGAUUAAAGGCAAACCAAAUAUAUAUAAACUAGACGAAAAAGUACACAUGGCGGCUAAAAACUGUUUAAAAACCAUGGAAAAAGUGAUCUCAGAAUCAACCAACAAAGUAAAAUCCUUUAGGACAUGAUUUUUAACACAUUUUUUUAUUUACAUUGACGAAGACGUUCAUUCGUCUGAAGUUGGCGAGAACUUUUGCUGCGAAUAGUAUUCUACUUCUUCUUGAUACCCCGGUCAAGGUUUCAUGCCAUUCGGAAGGAUGUACCUAGUGGUUUAUAAAAAAUUAUCACUUCUAAGUCAUAGCAAAGCUAUUUAUUUAUUUUCUUAUUUGUCCUAUUCGUUUAUUUGUUUUGAGUUUCUUGAAUAUAUAAUAAAAUAAUUUCGUCGUA